UAGGGAAUCUUCCGCAAUGGGCGAAAGCCUGACGGAGCAACGCCGCGUGAGUGAUGAAGGUCUUCGGAUCGUAAAACUCUGUUAUUAGGGAAGAACAAAUGUGUAAGUAACUAUGCACGUCUUGACGGUACCUAAUCAGAAAGCCACGGCUAACUACGUGCCAGCAGCCGCGGUAAUACGUAGGUGGCAAGCGUUAUCCGGAAUUAUUGGGCGUAAAGCGCGCGUAGGCGGUUUUUUAAGUCUGAUGUGAAAGCCCACGGCUCAACCGUGGAGGGUCAUUGGAGACUGGAAAACUUGAGUGCAGAAGAGGAGAGUGGAAUUCCAUGUGUAGCGGUGAAAUGCGCAGAGAUAUGGAGGAACACCAGUGGCGAAGGCGACUUUCUGGUAUGAAACUGACGCUGAUGUGCGAAAGCGUGGGGAUCAAACAGG
RNAcentral lists this ribosomal RNA (429 nucleotides) under Actinomycetes bacterium. RNAcentral's name for it is "Actinobacteria bacterium partial 16S ribosomal RNA". It matches the Rfam family "Bacterial small subunit ribosomal RNA", at positions 355 to 776 of the family's 1533-position model. The record is from RNAcentral. Lineage: Bacteria; Bacillati; Actinomycetota; Actinomycetes.